GGGUUCGAUUAUGGCUCAGAACGAACGCUGGCGGCAGGCCUAAUACAUGCAAGUCGAGCGCGCCCUUCGGGGUGAGCGGCGGACGGGUGAGUAACGCGUGGGAAUAUGCCCUUCUCUAAGGAAUAGCCUCUGGAAACGGAGAGUAAUACCUUAUACGCCCUUUGGGGGAAAGAUUUAUCGGAGAAGGAUUAGCCCGCGUUAGAUUAGGUAGUUGGUGGGGUAAUGGCCUACCAAGCCUACGAUCUAUAGCUGGUUUGAGAGGAUGAUCAGCCACACUGGGACUGAGACACGGCCCAGACUCCUACGGGAGGCAGCAGUAGGGAAUCUUAGACAAUGGGGGCAACCCUGAUCUAGCCAUGCCGCGUGUGUGAUGAAGGCCCUAGGGUCGUAAAGCACUUUCGCCAGAGAUGAUAAUGACAGUAUCUGGUAAAGAAACCCCGGCUAACUCCGUGC
This 453-nucleotide ribosomal RNA is filed under the name uncultured bacterium. RNAcentral describes it as "bacterial SSU rRNA". It matches the Rfam family "Bacterial small subunit ribosomal RNA", at positions 9 to 508 of the family's 1533-position model. The record is from RNAcentral.